AGUGAACGCUGGCGGUAGGCCUAACACAUGCAAGUCGAACGGCAGCACAGUAAGAGCUUGCUCUUACGGGUGGCGAGUGGCGGACGGGUGAGGAAUACAUCGGAAUCUACUUUUUCGUGGGGGAUAACGUAGGGAAACUUACGCUAAUACCGCAUACGACCUACGGGUGAAAGCAGGGGAUCUUCGGACCUUGCGCGAUUGAAUGAGCCGAUGUCGGAUUAGCUAGUUGGCGGGGUAAAGGCCCACCAAGGCGACGAUCCGUAGCUGGUCUGAGAGGAUGAGCAGCCACACUGGAACUGAGACACGGUCCAGACUCCUACGGGAGGCAGCAGUGGGAAUAUUGGACAAUGGGCGCAAGCCUGAUCCAGCCAUACCGCGUGGGUGAAGAAGGCCUUCGGGUUGUAAAGCCCUUUUGUUGGGAAAGAAAAGCAGCAGGUUAAUACCCCGCUGUUCUGACGGUACCCAAAGAAUAAGCACCGGCUAACUUCGUG
This 491-nucleotide ribosomal RNA is filed under the name uncultured bacterium. RNAcentral describes it as "partial 16S ribosomal RNA". It matches the Rfam family "Bacterial small subunit ribosomal RNA", at positions 29 to 507 of the family's 1533-position model. The record is from RNAcentral.